UACGAAGGGGGCUAGCGUUGCUCGGAAUCACUGGGCGUAAAGGGUGCGUAGGCGGGUCUUUAAGUCAGGGGUGAAAUCCUGGAGCUCAAAUCCAGAACUGCCUUUGAUACUGAAGAUCUUGAGUUCGGGAGAGGUGAGUGGAAUUCCCAGUGUAGAGGUGAAAUUCGUAGAUAUUGGGAAGAACACCGGUGGCGAAGGCAAUCCCCUGGGCCUGUACUGACGCUCAUGCACGAAAGCGUGGGGAGCAAACAGG
This 253-nucleotide ribosomal RNA is filed under the name uncultured bacterium. RNAcentral's name for it is "partial 16S ribosomal RNA". It matches the Rfam family "Bacterial small subunit ribosomal RNA", at positions 524 to 776 of the family's 1533-position model. The record is from RNAcentral.